AGUGAACGCUGGCGGUAGGCCUAGCACAUGCAAGUCGAACGGCAGCACAGGAGAGCUUGCUCUCUGGGUGGCGAGUGGCGGACGGGUGAGGAAUACAUCGGAAUCUACUCUGUCGUGGGGGAUAACGUAGGGAAACUUACGCUAAUACCGCAUACGACCUACGGGUGAAAGCAGGGGAUCUUCGGACCUUGCGCGAUUGAAUGAGCCGAUGUCGGAUUAGCUAGUUGGCGGGGUAAAGGCCCACCAAGGCGACGAUCCGUAGCUGGUCUGAGGGGUUGAUCAGCCGCACUGGAAUAGAGACACGGUCCAGACUCCAAAGGGUGGCAGCAGUAGGGAAUAGUGCACAAUGGGCGCAAGCCUGAUCCAGCCGUACCGCGUGGGUGAAGAAGGCCUUCGGGUUGUAAAGCCCUUUUGUUGGGAAAGAAAUCCAGCUGGCUAGUACCCGGUUGGGAUGACGGUACCCAAAGAAUAAGCACCGGCUAACUUCGUGCCAGCCACCGCGGUAA
RNAcentral lists this ribosomal RNA (506 nucleotides) under uncultured bacterium. Its description in RNAcentral is "partial 16S ribosomal RNA". It matches the Rfam family "Bacterial small subunit ribosomal RNA", at positions 29 to 523 of the family's 1533-position model. The record is from RNAcentral.